UACGGGGGAGCAAGCGUUGUUCGGAUUUACUGGGCGUAAAGGGCGCGUAGGCGGCCACCGCAAGUCGGUUGUGAAAUCUCUGGGCUUAACCCAGAAAGGUCAAUCGAUACUGCGGGGCUAGAGUGCAGAAGGGGCAACUGGAAUUCUCGGUGUAGCGGUGAAAUGCGUAGAUAUCGAGAGGAACACCUGCGGCGAAGGCGGGUUGCUGGGCUGACACUGACGCUGAAGCGCGAAAGCUAGGGGAGCGAACGGG
RNAcentral lists this ribosomal RNA (253 nucleotides) under uncultured microorganism. RNAcentral's name for it is "partial small subunit ribosomal RNA". It matches the Rfam family "Bacterial small subunit ribosomal RNA", at positions 524 to 776 of the family's 1533-position model. The record is from RNAcentral.